GUUUAAGAACACUCGAUGCAUGCUGAGACAUGAAUUCACAUUUCUACCACUUCGGAAAGUAUCAAUGUCCUACGUGGAAUAUGGACUAGAAAAUACUGAUAAUAUUAAUGGUUUUAUGCAAUAUGGCAGUACAGCAGAUCACUCAAGGCUUGCUGAGACAUGACAUCACAUUCAUACCAUUUGGGAAAGUAUCAUCAUCUUACAUUGAAAAUUAACUGGAAGAUACUGAUAAUUAUAUAGGUUUUAUGCAAUAUGACAGUAUAAAGAACACUCGAUGCAUGCUGAGACAUGAAUUCACAUUUCUACCACUUCGGAAAGUAUCAAUGUCCUACGUGGAAAAUGGACUAGAAAAUACUGAUAAUAUUAAUGGUUUUAUGCAAUAUGGCUGUACAGCAGAUCACUCAAGGCUUGCUGAGACAUGACUUCGCAUUCAUACCACUUGGGAAAGUAUCAUCAUCUUACAUUGAAAAUUAACUGGAAGAUACUGAUAAUUAUAUAGGUUUUAUGCAAUAUGACAGUAUAAAGAACACUCGAUGCAUGCUGAGACAUGAAUUCACAUUUCUACCACUUCGGAAAGUAUCAAUGUCCUACGUGGAAAAUGGACUAGAAAAUACUGAUAAUAUUAAUGGUUUUAUGCAAUAUGGCAGUACAGCUGAUCACUCAAGGCUUGCUGAGACAUGACUUUGCAUUCAUACCACUUGGGAAAGUAUCAUCAUCUUACAUUGAAAAUUAACUGGAAGAUACUGAUAAUUAUAUAGGUUUUAUGCAAUGUACGUUAAAUGAUUAUUGAAUGUAAUUGAUAGUAAAUUAAUAGUAGUGUAACAAUUGAAAAUUUGUUAAAAGUCUGAAUAAAGGUUUGGGAAAAACCAUUAGCUUGUAAUGUUAAUUCAUAAUACUUGCCUUAGCUAUAUAAAUCUUUUAAUAUUAUUUACUACAUUUAUUUCAUUAAUAGGUUUUACUUUA
This is a long non-coding RNA of Rhopalosiphum padi (bird cherry-oat aphid), 963 nucleotides long. RefSeq lists it as uncharacterized. NCBI's taxonomy places the organism in Eukaryota, Metazoa, Arthropoda, Insecta, Hemiptera, Aphididae. The record is from RefSeq and is a predicted model, not a curated record. The transcript is spliced from 6 exons.